GCAGAGUAGGAAGAUGUGCGUUAAGUGCCAGCCGGACGGGGAGUUGCCGGCAGGACGAAAAGCAAUCAACAAUGGAUUGUUUGCGGUACAUGUUCCGCAUCCCGCUGC
This 108-nucleotide non-coding RNA is filed under the name Dorea phocaeensis. RNAcentral describes it as "THF riboswitch". It matches the Rfam family "THF (Tetrahydrofolate) riboswitch aptamer". Rfam says of the family: THF riboswitch presents a pseudoknot that joins P1-P2 and the loop of P3 and two THF binding. Lineage: Bacteria; Bacillati; Bacillota; Clostridia; Lachnospirales; Lachnospiraceae. The record is from RNAcentral.